Bombina bombina (fire-bellied toad) is the source of this 1939-nucleotide long non-coding RNA. RefSeq lists it as uncharacterized. Lineage: Eukaryota; Metazoa; Chordata; Amphibia; Anura; Bombinatoridae. The record is from RefSeq and is a predicted model, not a curated record. The transcript has 2 exons.
UAUAAAUGAGCAGGCUUCUAACAACUUAUAUAUGGUUUUCUGAGUAUUUUUCCUGUGGGAUUCACAUGCUCCUGUAUAAAUAUGCAGGCUUACAACUUAAGAACUGCCUUAUAAUACAGAAGGAAUGCUUUGGAAUACAAAAACCAUCUGUUCUUAAACGUUUGCUAGGAGAAGCUCAGUAAAAAGUAUUGUUUUGUGGGCUUAUUCAGUCAAUGCUUAAACUGUGUAGAAAGUUAUAUUUUCUCUCUAUACUUGCUUAUCUUGCAAUAUAGAUCCUGAGUUAAUAGAGAAAACACUGCGGUAGUCUGUGCGGAUUUCUGCACUGCAGGACCCCCAAAAAAUAACUUUGUACCUAUACCUUCCCCCUUUGAGUGAAGAAAGGAAAGAGGAAGAGAGGGGGAAAAGAACAAAAAGGGGGAAAAGAAGGAAGGAGGAGGAAGAGAAAGGAGAAGAGGAGGAGAGGAGUAAGGGAAGAGAAAGGAGGGAAGAAAAGGGGAAGACAGGAGAAGGAAAAGAAGAAGAGAAGAUAAAGAGAGGGGAAAGGAGAAAGGAGGAUGCUUUAACAAUAAUUAAAUAACAAAAAGAUGAAGCAUUUGAUGAGGAUCAGGAGCUUCAGCCUGAAGGUCACUGUGACAAGGUUGACUCAGAGUACGUGGGCAGCUUGGUUCCCUGGAGGUGACACAGCGCCCCCAUUUUCAACACUUUACGCACUUAAACUUGUUUAACACAUGGUUAUUGUUUUUGCACUUUGUUACUGUUAUAUAAUUAAAGGAGCCAUAAUCUCGGAGCUCCUAAGAUCCUAUAGAGGUCCUACUCUCUGUUUGAAAUGAUGACCUUAUGGAAAGUUUUAUACCUAAAACAUUAUCUUGGACAUGGAAUACUGUGUCAUCAUGUAUAAUAAUGGACUUUAAAAACAUCAAAAAUCGAGGUUCCACAGCACUCCAUAUCUGGUGGGCAUGUCCUAUAAUCCAACCCCUGUGGAGGAAAAUCUAUGCACUCCUUCUUUCACUCAAUCUCACUCCUCCGUAUACUCCAGAAGUAGCCCUCCUUCACAUGCAUAUGCCUAACCUAUCCCCCCCGGGGGAAGCGCUUACAAUCUAUGUUUUUAUGGCUACUAAAUUGGCACUCGCCAGAGCUUGGAAACAGGUUGGGCCUCCCUCUCUCUCUCAGGUGAUUUCCAUUGUACACUUUGUGGGACAAAUGGAACAGUACUCUUACAAGGUUCUAGAUCAGGUUGACUCCUUUUUUGGGAUCUGGUCCCUCUGGAUUACAAAAUUCCCACAGUGGGACAUCAGACCCCAACAUAUCUCUUAAAAGACUUCAUUCACCUCCCCUCCCUUACCUUAAUAUAUAUAUAUAUAUAUUUAUUUUUUUCUUCUCUUUUCUUUUCUUCUCCUAUCCCCCCCCCCCUCCCUCUCCCCCCCCCCCCUAAGUCUGACUCGCCCAUGCCCAUUUUCUCUUUAAAUAACUCCCCUUACUAUUGCCUCACCACCUAUUAUUGAAAAAGCUACUUGCAAUAUACCUUACGCUAAACCCCUAAAAAAAAAGAGACCCUUGGUUUUAUAUAUUGUGCAUAUUCUUAUAUCUCAUUUUUCAGUGGAUCAUACUUGUUUACUAGUUUAUUUGUUAAACUGAUCUAUUAAUGACUUGUACUCGUGAUCUUGAUACAGCACUAUUGUUUUACCUGUGCAUUUGUCUCAAUAAAAAUUUUUGAUUAAAAAAAAAAAAAAAAUCGAGGUUCCACAUAACAUCCCAUCCUACCUCCCUCCCACAGGGGCGGGGAUAGACUCUAAUAAGACAUCAUCUUGGCUGGUUCUUUAAUACUUUGUAAUCUGGAUAGAAGUAUCUAAAUAUGUCUUACAAUUGUAUUAUUGUUUGUUUUGAAACCUCAAUAAAAAUGUAUUUAUAAAAAAAAAUAAAAAAAAUACCUACAACAAAA